CCUACGGGAGGCAGCAGUGAGGAAUAUUGGGCAAUGGAGGCAACUCUGACCCAGCAACGCCGCGUGAGUGAAGAAGGCUUUCGGGUUGUAAAGCUCUUUCGUCAGGGACGAUGAUGACGGUAGCAUCUAAAGAAGCACCGGCUAACUACGUGCCAGCAGCCGCGGUAAUACGAAGGGGGCAAGCGUUGUUCGGAUUUACUGGGCGUAAAGGGAGUGUAGGCGGAUUAGUAAGUAAGAUGUGAAAUCCCAGAGCUUAACUUUUGAAUUGCAAUUAUAACUAUUAGUCUAGAGUUACGGAGAGGAUGAUGGAAUACCUAGUGUAGCGGUGAAAUGCGUAGAUAUUAGGUAGAACACCAGUGGCGAAGGCGAUUAUCUGG
Molecule: ribosomal RNA, 377 nt
Filed under: uncultured bacterium
Lineage: Bacteria
Description: partial 16S ribosomal RNA
Rfam family: Bacterial small subunit ribosomal RNA
Source: RNAcentral